UAGCGAAAUCUCCCCAGAUCACAUCUGAUUCUUCCUACAACAACACACAGUGCCUUAAUGGUUAAUACAGCAACAGUGUCCAUCUCUAGAACAGGAGAGCUUUUCUGUGCCUGCUCUAGAGGGACACAUCUCAAUCCAAUGCUUUCUGAAAAUGUCCACUUUAUCCUGUUUCUUUUUCCUGAGAAAUAAUCCACUGAAAAGACAUAUAAAAUAUAUAUUUGUCUCACUACUAGAAUGUCUGCCUGUGCCCUGGUGACAAGUUUGCAAUUAUUCCAGUGAAAGAGACCCUAGUUUAUUAUUUGGAAUAAUGAGCAUUCACAUAAUCACAUCAGCAAGUUAUGAAGGUUUAUAUGAAUCAUUCCACAUUUUCUGCUCACAGAAUGGAAGAUAGAAGUUGAUUGUUCUCAUAUACAACCCCCCCCCCCACCUUCAGAACAGCUUCAAUUCGUCUGGGCAUGGACUCUACAAGGUGUUGAAAGCGUUCCACAUGGACGCUGGCCCAUGUUGACUCCAAUGCUUCCCACAGUUGUGUCAAGUUGGCUGGAUGUCCUUUGGGUAGUGGACCAUUAUUGAUAAAUACGGAAAACUGUUGAGUGUUAAAAGCCCAGCAGCGUUGAAGUUCUUGACACAAACCAGUGUGCCUGGCACCUACUACCAUACCCCGUUCAAAGAACCAACUGUACCCAAGAAUCACCACAAACUGCUCUCAACAGAACCAACUUUGAGAAACACUCAGGUCGUGUUCCCCUGCUCAGACAAUGCAUGUAUCAACCAAUGGAUGCAUGCCAGAUCAUCGACUGCGCCGUCAGGCAUCAGAUUGCUGUAACAUAUGAAUUUGUUGGCUGAUACGUAAAAUACCUAUCCAGGCACAUCUAAGCAGAGUAACACAACCUCAAAGACACUUGAACUAUGACCUUUUAGAAAUACAAAUGAUUCCUUUUUACGUUAGGAACAUUAUUGGUCCCCAAAAAAUAGCUCAAAUACUUCUUCAGUAUAUCCUGUUACUAUCGUCCGUAAAAUAUCUGUAUAAAUCAAUUGCUCCUGAUUAAGCAUGGACAACAGUACAAAGAGGAGACUGUAUUGAAAGUUUAUCGGCUAAUAUCGCUGUUCCUCAGUUAGAGGAUUCUGCUGCAUUUGUCUUCUUUGUUUACUGCUUUCAUACAUUCUGUUUGUUUUAUCAUCCAUGUCUGUUUCUACCCAGAGAGUGUUGGGGAUACUGUAUCGGAGGAGGCAGAGGGAAUGUGACUUAUCAGAGAAUACUUAGUCUGUUUCUAUGUUAUGUUGUGUAUGUCGCCAAAGACCCACUAAUAAUGUACCCAUACACCAUCCUCUGCUCCAUCGCAACUUCUGCUGUGUGUGCAAUAAAAAUAUUAUAACAAAUUUUA
Molecule: long non-coding RNA, 1385 nt
Filed under: Salmo salar (Atlantic salmon)
Lineage: Eukaryota; Metazoa; Chordata; Actinopteri; Salmoniformes; Salmonidae
Description: lncRNA (ENSSSAG00000116025.1)
Source: RNAcentral